Molecule: ribosomal RNA, 230 nt
Filed under: uncultured bacterium
Lineage: Bacteria
Description: partial 16S ribosomal RNA
Rfam family: Bacterial small subunit ribosomal RNA
Source: RNAcentral
CUCGUAGGCGGUUCGGUAAGUCGGGUGUGAAAAUCCAGGGCUCAACCCUGGGACGCCACCCGAUACUGCUGUGACUAGAGUCCGGUAGAGGAGCGUGGAAUUCCUGGUGUAGCGGUGAAAUGCGCAGAUAUCAGGAGGAACACCAGCGGCGAAGGCGGCGCUCUGGGCCGGUACUGACGCUGAGGAGCGAAAGCGUGGGGAGCAAACAGGAUUAGAUACCCUGGUAGUCC